Molecule: ribosomal RNA, 254 nt
Filed under: uncultured Sphingomonadaceae bacterium
Lineage: Bacteria; Pseudomonadati; Pseudomonadota; Alphaproteobacteria; Sphingomonadales; Sphingomonadaceae
Description: partial 16S ribosomal RNA
Rfam family: Bacterial small subunit ribosomal RNA
Source: RNAcentral
UACGGAGGGGGGCUAGCGUUGUUCGGAAUUACUGGGCGUAAAGCGUACGUAGGCGGCUAUUUAAGUCAGAGGUGAAAGCCCGGGGCUCAACUCCGGAAUUGCCUUUGAAACUAGGUAGCUUGAACAUGGGAGAGGUAAGUGGAAUUCCGAGUGUAGAGGUGAAAUUCGUAGAUAUUCGGAGGAACACCAGUGGCGAAGGCGGCUUACUGGACCAUUGUUGACGCUGAGGUGCGAAAGCGUGGGGAGCAAACAGG